GACGAACGCUGGCGGCGUGCUUAACACAUGCAAGUCGAACGGAAAGGCCCUGCUUUUGUGGGGUGCUCGAGUGGCGAACGGGUGAGUAACACGUGAGUAACCUGCCCUUGACUUUGGGAUAACUUCAGGAAACUGGGGCUAAUACCGGAUAGGAGCUCCUGCUGCAUGGUGGGGGUUGGAAAGUUUCGGCGGUUGGGGAUGGACUCGCGGCUUAUCAGCUUGUUGGUGGGGUAGUGGCUUACCAAGGCUUUGACGGGUAGCCGGCCUGAGAGGGUGACCGGCCACAUUGGGACUGAGAUACGGCCCAGAAUCCUACGGGAGGCAGCAGUGGGGAAUAUUGCACAAUGGGGGGACGCCUGAUGCAGCAACGCCGCGUGCGGGAUGACGGCCUUCGGGUUGUAAACCGCUUUCGCCUGUGACGAAGCGUGAGUGACGGUAAUGGGUAAAGAAGCACCGGCUAACUACGUG
RNAcentral lists this ribosomal RNA (468 nucleotides) under uncultured bacterium. RNAcentral's name for it is "partial 16S ribosomal RNA". It matches the Rfam family "Bacterial small subunit ribosomal RNA", at positions 28 to 507 of the family's 1533-position model. The record is from RNAcentral.